AUGCCAACGACCCCGCGUAAAGGCGUUAGUUAUUUCGGUUCUAAAGAUGGAGCACAAAAAAAGCUUGUGUUGCACGUCUCGGCCAAUAUAUCAUGGAGUGGAUUCCUCGUGCCAAUCCCAUCAGGCUGGGUGUGUAGCUAUCUUAAUGCAGACAAUCUCACCACAGAGCAAAUUAUCAGAGGGGAAUCGCCUCUGAAGGGAGCGUUGCAGCCGCCGGAUAGACCAUGGCAGCCGCCACCUCUUGGCUGGCUUGCCUCGUCAGUGGAUGGUUCUUUACUUAGCGGAAGAGCGCUCGGCGGUAGCAGGCAUGAUCCUAUAACUUGGGCUCUGUCAUUUUUUUCAUCAUGUCAACUAUUGUUCUACUGUAACAAUGCCCUUAGGGCGGAAAUUCAAGCUAUCAAGAUAGGAAUGUCUAUGGCUAUUGAAUGGUCUAACCUUCCGGUCUUAGUACAGUCGGACUCGCUGGUGACCCUUUCUUCUAUGAUUUUUGCCCCACUUGAUAAAUCACCCAAUGGUCAAUUGGCCAGGGAUAUCAAGAACUACAUGCUGCAGAGGGAGUUUAAACCUAUGAAGAUCCUGAGAUCACAGAACAUGGUCUCACAUUGUCUUGCUAAUUAUGCUCGAACGGCUCGUAGCACCGCUUGUUGGUUGCAACGGUCACCCCCCUUCAUUCAUAAUCUUGUAUUAGCGGACUGUAACUUACAUGUUACUUUGGAAUAA
RNAcentral lists this ribosomal RNA (720 nucleotides) under Triticum aestivum (bread wheat). RNAcentral describes it as "partial small subunit ribosomal RNA". The record is from RNAcentral. Lineage: Eukaryota; Viridiplantae; Streptophyta; Magnoliopsida; Poales; Poaceae.